This 301-nucleotide ribosomal RNA is filed under the name uncultured bacterium. RNAcentral's name for it is "partial 16S ribosomal RNA". It matches the Rfam family "Bacterial small subunit ribosomal RNA", at positions 509 to 807 of the family's 1533-position model. The record is from RNAcentral.
CAGUCGCCGCGGUAAUACAGAGGGUGCGAGCGUUAAUCGGAUUUACUGGGCGUAAAGCGUGCGUAGGCGGCUUCUUAAGUCGGAUGUGAAAUCCCUGAGCUUAACUUAGGAAUUGCAUUCGAUACUGGGAAGCUAGAGUAUGGGAGAGGAUGGUAGAAUUCCAGGUGUAGCGGUGAAAUGCGUAGAGAUCUGGAGGAAUAUCGAUGGCGAAGGCAGCCAUCUGGCCUAAUACUGACGCUGAGGUACGAAAGCAUGGGGAGCAAACAGGAUUAGAUACCCGAGUAGUCCCUGUCUCUUAUAC